This 372-nucleotide ribosomal RNA is filed under the name uncultured organism. RNAcentral describes it as "partial 16S ribosomal RNA". It matches the Rfam family "Bacterial small subunit ribosomal RNA", at positions 527 to 897 of the family's 1533-position model. The record is from RNAcentral.
AGAGGGUGCGAGCGUUAAUCGGAAUUACUGGGCGUAAAGGGCGCGUAGGUGGUUAAUUAAGUCAGAUGUGAAAUCCCUGGGGCUCAACCUAGGAAUUGCAUAUGAAACUGGUUAUCUAGAGUUUGGUAGAGGGAAGUGGAAUUUCCGGUGUAGCGGUGAAAUGCGUAGAUAUCGGAAGGAACAUCAGUGGCGAAGGCGACUUCCUGGCCCAAUACUGACACUGAGGCGCGAAAGCGUGGGUAGCGAACAGGAUUAGAUACCCUGGUAGUCCACGCUGUAAACGAUGAGAACUAGAUGUUAGGGUGCUAGUCACUUUAGUAUCGCAGCUAACGCGUUAAGUUCUCCGCCUGGGGAGUACGGCCGCAAGGUUAA